This 254-nucleotide ribosomal RNA is filed under the name uncultured bacterium. RNAcentral describes it as "partial 16S ribosomal RNA". It matches the Rfam family "Bacterial small subunit ribosomal RNA", at positions 524 to 776 of the family's 1533-position model. The record is from RNAcentral.
UACGAGGGGGGCUAGCGUUGCUCGGAAUCACUGGGCGUAAAGGGUGCGUAGGCGGGUUUUUAAGUCAGGGGUGAAAUCCUGGAGCUCAACUCCAGAACUGCCUUUGAUACUGAAGAUCUUGAGUUCGGGAGAGGUGAGUGGAACUGCGAGUGUAGAGGUGAAAUUCGUAGAUAUUCGCAAGAACACCAGUGGCGAAGGCGGCUCACUGGCCCGAUAACUGACGCUGAGGCACGAAAGCGUGGGGAGCAACAGGG